This 72-nucleotide transfer RNA is filed under the name Schistocephalus solidus. It matches the Rfam family "tRNA". From Rfam's summary of the family: Transfer RNA (tRNA) molecules are approximately 80 nucleotides in length. The record is from Rfam by way of RNAcentral. Lineage: Eukaryota; Metazoa; Platyhelminthes; Cestoda; Diphyllobothriidea; Diphyllobothriidae.
UCAGCAAAGUUCUAGCGGUCAGGAUUCCUUGCUUUCAACCAGGCGGCCCGGGUUCGACUCCCGGUUGGGGAG